RNAcentral lists this ribosomal RNA (1151 nucleotides) under uncultured dinophysoid. RNAcentral's name for it is "LSU rRNA". It matches the Rfam family "Eukaryotic large subunit ribosomal RNA", at positions 40 to 1131 of the family's 3401-position model. Lineage: Eukaryota; Dinophyceae; Dinophysales; Dinophysaceae. The record is from RNAcentral.
AUAUAAGUAAGCAGCGGACAAGAAACUAAACAGGAUCCCCACAGUAAUGGCGAAUGAGCAGGGAUGAGCUCAGCAUGGAAAUUGGGGCCUGUGGCCUUGACUUGUAAGCUGGUGAGGCAUUGCCAACAGAGGCGCAGAUGUAAGUCUCUUGGAACAGAGCAUCACUGAGGGUGAGAGUCCUGUUUGCCAUUUGCAGCCCCCUGUGCACGGUGUGCCUACAGCGAGUCACGUUCCUCGGGAUUGGAGCGCAAAGUGGGUGGUAACUUUCAUCUGAAGCUAAACAUUGGUUUAAGACCGAUAGGAAACAAGUACCAUGAGGGAAAGGUGAAAAGGACUUUGGAAAGAGAGUUAAAAGUGCCUGAAAUUGCUGAAAGGGAAGCGAAUGGAACCAGUGGUGAUGGUGAGAUUGUCAUAUGCUAUAAUGAUUGGUUGCUGGUUUGUCGCAAGUGUUCUGGUAAGCAUUGAUCUGUAAGUGUGUGGUGUGUCUCGCCUUGAUUGUCAUCGAGGGCUCCUGCAUUAAGACAUUUCAAAGUUCAGGGUAAUAUGUUUGCGAAGGUAUGAAUGUGCUUUGCUAUGUUUAUGCAGAAGCUUCCUCUUGUAUGUCUGGCUGCCGUGCUCUGCACCCCCAUACCAGGGAAGCGAGCAUGCCAUUUCUGCACAGCUGAUGACUAAAUGAUUCUAUUCGACCCGUCUUGAAACACGGACCAAGGAGUCUAGCAUAAGUGCAAGUUCAUGGGUUGCAGACCUGUGUGCACAAUGAAAGUGACUGCUGGGAUCUGUGUGCCAGCAACCGACCAAUCAAUUGAGAGAGGUUUGAGUAUGAGCAUUUCUGUUAGGACCCGAAAGAUGGUGAACUAUGCCUGAGAAGGGCAAACUCAGGGGAAACUCUGAUGGAGGCUCGUAGCGGUACUGACGUGCAAAUCGUUCGUCAUACUUGGGUAUAGGGGCGAAAGACUAAUCGAACCAUCUAGUAGCUGGUUCCCUCUGAAGUUUCCCUCAGGAUAGCUGGAGUUGAACAGUUUUAUCAGGUAAAGCGAAUGAUUAGAGGAAUCGGGGGCGCGCCGUUCUCGACCUAUUCUCAAACUUUUAAUGGGUACGAUCCAGUGGUUACUUGUGUGAACUUCUGGGGCACAUGUUGAUUCCAAGUGGGA